AUUAUAACAGAAUAUUUUCGGAUAUUAAGACCCUGGGCCUGGACCGACACAUCGGUAAAAUACACUUCACAGGAUCACCUCAAUGGACACACUGGGGAUCGUGUUUACCAAUGCGGUGAAUGCAAAGAUCAGCGUAUGCCUUCCGGAUGGGAUGUCUGGUGCACAAAAUCUUCGACCAUGUGAAGCUGAACGGCGUAUACGUGUGCCCCGGGCUGUCGAGCGGCACAAGUACCGGCACAGCCGAGUACUGCACCAGUAGCAGCAACAGCACCAGCACCAGCUAGAUCUAAUAAUGGGACACAGCGGAAGAAGAAAUUCCGUCAACGCCGCUUCUCCAAAAACCGAAACGUGGAUCAGUCGCUUUCGUCUGUACCACGAAACAGGAAGAAAUUUUAAUAUUAAUUUACGGUAAGCCAUUGACAUUUCUUUUACAAUUAUAGUUUUUUCAAAAGCUCCAGAAACAAGUGAAUGUUGCUUCGAUUGAUUAUGUCAUAUUGAUUUUACUUUUGAACACAUAGGCUUUGGUCCGAUUCGCGAAUUAAAAUCAAAUUAAACUUAAAAAUGACAGUUCAAUAAUUUUCAAAUAACCCUACUCGCAGAGCAAGAUUACUUUGACCGAUGUUGAAUCGUUUUUGAUAGAUGUUUUGACGGUCUUACUGGGUAGCACCAGCCAUUCUCAUGAGCGGGGGAUUUCAUAAUUUCCGAACUGUCACUUUUAAGUUUAAUUUGAUUUUAAUUCGCGAAUCGGACCAAAGCCUUACAAAACAAUACAAAGUACGAAAAAAGUCCUCUUGAAAGAAAUUUAUAUAAAAAAUGAGAAUUAUAUUUCGGUAAUUCCUAUUUCAAAAAAUGGGAUUUGGUUCGUUAUUUAGAGGGCAGGCCAUAGUAAUUUAUGUAUUCAAUAUGAAUGUAAUGUUUUUAAACAUAUCAGGCAUCAUUUUUCAUAGGGACGUAUGUAACAAAAGUAAACAAAACGAGAUUUUGAAUACAACAUGACAAUCACACGCGACUUUAUAUAAUACUCAUCGAUUUUACUGAUUU
Armigeres subalbatus is the source of this 1041-nucleotide RNA transcript. RefSeq lists it as uncharacterized. The transcript has 2 exons. NCBI's taxonomy places the organism in Eukaryota, Metazoa, Arthropoda, Insecta, Diptera, Culicidae. The record is from RefSeq and is a predicted model, not a curated record.